AGUGGCGGACGGGUGAGUAACGCGUGACAAUCUGCCUUGGGGUCGGGGACAACCACUGGAAACGGUGGCUAAUACCGGAUAAGCCGAUUGGUGAAAGAUUUAUUGCCCGAAGAGGAGCUCGCGUCUGAUUAGCUAGUUGGUGAGGUAAGAGCUCACCAAGGCAGCGAUCAGUAGCUGGUCUGAGAGGACGAUCAGCCACACUGGGACUGAGACACGGCCCAGACUCCUACGGGAGGCAGCAGUGGGGAAUUUUCCGCAAUGGGCGAAAGCCUGACGGAGCAAGACCGCGUGAGGGAGGAAGGCUCUUGGGUUGUAAACCUCUUUUCUCAGGGAAGAAGCUCUGACGGUACCUGAGGAAUCAGCCUCGGCUAACUCCGUGCCAGCAGCCGCGGUAAUACGGAGGAGGCAAGCGUUAUCCGGAAUUAUUGGGCGUAAAGCGUCCGCAGGUGGCGAUUCAAGUCUGCUGUCAAAGCACGGGGCUUAACUCCGUAAAGGCAGUGGAAACUGAAUAGCUAGAGUGCCGUAGGGGUAGAGGGAAUUCCCGGUGUAGCGGUGAAAUGCGUAGAGAUCGGGAAGAACAUCGGUGGCGAAAGCGCUCUACUGGACGGCAACUGACACUCAGGGACGAAAGCUAGGGGAGCGAAUGGGAUUAGAUACCCC
RNAcentral lists this ribosomal RNA (660 nucleotides) under uncultured bacterium. RNAcentral's name for it is "bacterial SSU rRNA". It matches the Rfam family "Bacterial small subunit ribosomal RNA", at positions 94 to 788 of the family's 1533-position model. The record is from RNAcentral.